GAUUUUUGGGAAUCUCAAAGGAUCUUAGCUGAAAGUAUGUCAUCUGCCUUAGUUGAUGACGACGAUGAUGAUGCGAAAGAAGAAGGAAAAGCCACAAAAUUA
RNAcentral lists this non-coding RNA (102 nucleotides) under Chaetoceros affinis. The record is from RNAcentral. Lineage: Eukaryota; Bacillariophyta; Thalassiosirophyceae; Chaetocerotales; Chaetocerotaceae.